GAUAUUUCUAUAGAUAAUUAUACUCAUGUCUUUUUUAUGAAACAUAAAUCUGAGGUUAAAAAAGAAAAGCUUAAUUGUUUUCUGAGUAUGUUUAAAACUCAAACAAAAAACGUUAUUAAAACUAUUAGAAGUGACUGUGGAUUAGAGUAUAAGAAUUCGGAAGUUCAAUCAAUUCUAAAUCAUCUUGGUAUAAAGCAUGAAACAAGUGUACCUUAUACUCCUGAACAAAAUGGAAGAGCUGAACGUUCAAUGAGGACUAUUUGUGAGGCAGCCAGAACAAUGAUAUAUGCCAAGAAUUUUCCAAAAUCACUGUAGGCAGAAGCAGUCAAUACAGUAGUGUUCUCAUUAAAUUAUACUGGUAAUUCAGGGAAAGUAUGUAAAACUCCAUACAAGUUAUGGUUUGAUAAACUUCCUAAAACAGAAAAGUUCGUAGAUUUUAAAAUAAAUGCAUAUAAUUUAGUUCCAAAACAACAACGAAAGAAGUGGGAUGCAAAAACCCGAAAAGGAUACUUUGUUGGAUAUUCAGAAACUUCAAAUGGUAUCGUAUUUGGUAUAAAGAAAAUAACGAGGUGUCACUUAGUAGAGACGUCAUUUUCAAGGAAGAAAGUGUUAUAAAUUACCAACUUGUAGAAUAUUCUAAUAAUUUAAAUGAUAGUAAUAACAUUUAUGUUCUUAGCUUACACAAGGAUGGCUCAUUAGAAGACAGCAAUAAAUCAGAAGGAGAUGAAUUCAUGAAAAAUGAAUUUGGAUCAAUAAGUGUAGUUCACAAUGAAAAACAAGGACAUGAACAAGGAAAUGGGUCAAAUUCAAAUCCGAUCCAGUGAAUUUCAAGGAAGCUGUGGAGACACAAAAUUCAGAAAAAUGGAUAGAAGCCAUGGACAAUGAAAUGGAAUCUCUUAAACAAAACGGAACAUGUUCUCUCGUAAAGUUACCUAAGGACAGAACUAUUGUAAAUUGUGGUUGUAUAAAACAAAAAUACAAUGUUCAUGGAAUUGUUGAUCGAUACAAGGCUAGGCUAGUAGCAAAAGGGUAAAGUCAAAUAUUUGGUAUUGAUUUUAAUGAAACUUUUAGUCCUGUAGUAAAGUUUGAUUCAAUUCGGUCUAUAUUAGCUAUAUCAACAGCAGAACAAUUACAACUUCGUCAAUUUGACGCUCAAACAACCUUUCUAUAUGGAGAUUUGGACGAAGAAAUUUACACGAGACAACCAGAAGGGUUCAACGAUGGUAUCGAAAUGGUGUGCAGACUUCAACGCAGUUUAUAUGGCCUAAUGCAGUCACCACGAUGUUGGAACAUAAAGUUCAAAACAUUUCUUCUUAACUUUAAUCUAUUAGAAACAAAAGCAGAUCUCUGUGUUUUUGUUAAUGGAGAAAAUAACAAAGUAUUAAUUGUCGCUAUAUUUGUUGAUGAUGGUCUAGUUGCAGCUACAUCAAGUCAGGGUGUAAAUGCAUUAAUUGAAUAUUUGAGACAACAUUUCAAUAUUACCGAAGGAGAAUUGAAUCAAUUAUUAGGUACAGAAAUUGAGCAAAAAUCUGAUGGAUCAAUUGUAAUGCACCAAGGGUUGUAUUGUAAAAGAAUAUUGGAGACGUUCAAUAUGACUGAAGCAAAUCCAGUUCAAAUACCAGCAGAACCUCAACAUUCAUUAGAUGACAAGCAACAAAAUACUAAUCUAACUAGUAAAGUCCCAUAUCGUGAAGCAUUCGGAAGCUUAUUAUAUGUCAGUCAGAUUACAAGACCAGACAUAAUUUUUUCAUUAAAUCUAGUUAGUAGAUACAUCGAGGAUCCAAAGGAACAACACUGGACAGCAGUGAAACAAAUUUUAAAAUAUUUAAAGCAAACUAUUAAUUUUGGAUUGAUAUUUAGUUUUAGACAAAAACUCAUGUUAAAGGGAUACAGUGAUGCUGACUAUGCAGGUGAAUUGGAUACAAGAAGUUCAACAUCAGGGUCAGUAUUUACAUUAGGAUCUGGAAAUAUAACAUGGAGUUCACGUUGUCAACAGUGUUAGCCUUAGCAAAACUGAAUCAGAGUACAUAGCUUUAAGUCAAGCAGUACAAAAAUUAACUUGGUUAAAACUGUUUUUAGGUGAAUUGCUGGACCAGCCAAAAAUGGUGCCAACGAUGUAUGGAGACAAUCAAAGUGCGAUUAAACUCGUAAAAAAUCCAGAGUUUCAUAGAAGAACAAAAAGCUCAUAGAUGUUCGCUACCACUAUAUAAGAGAAAAGUUCAAUGAGGGAUUGUUUUCAUUAGAGUACAUAUCCAGCAAGGAGCAGAUUGCAGACGUUAUGACAAAGCCAACUCCAUGAACGCGGUUCAAUGAGCUAAGGAAGAUGUUAGGAGUUAUAAAUAUUGAUGUUUAAGGGAAAGUGUUAGAAUUAUAAACAAAACACCCUAUAUAAUGUAGUGUAUAAGUAAUAUAUUCACACUGUAGUUCAGCAGACCCUGACUAUACAUUUUUAUAAUACUACAGCAUAUAUGUCUUGUGUAAUGUAGCCGGGUAUACAUAGUUAGUCGUUGAUUUAUAUUACGCCUCGUAACACUAUUGUACAUCGUAUCAUUCUACUUAUUAUUAUAUUAUAUAUAUUCGAUCUUAUUAUUAUUUACCUUUAACUUCUGUAUGUCUGUGUACUUCAACAAUUUUAUUAAUUAGAUGGAAUAUUUUCACCUUCCUGCACACAACAAUCCUAGCAAAAUUGAAAUAGUUCUGCAAUUGAGUGAUUUUAGACCAGAUGGUGAUGGUUAUGAUGUAUUUGUUGCUGCGACGAAAUAAUUCGAUAAUGCGGAUGCAAAUUAGUUCGGUUUUUAUUAGGUAUUUAUUUAUUUAUUUAUUCGUAUAACUUAAUAAUGAACGCACUAACAAAAAUUUUUCCUAUUAAGGUUAAAAUAAACUAUAAAUAUUACUAUUAUAAAUUUAUAACUGAUAUUCAUAAACAUUUUAAGGUACAAAGUACCAUGACAAGCAAAAUAUCACAUUAAGUAUCACAGAUUUAAGUUUAGAUGUCUACAUUCAAAGCCUCUAACCAGGCCACUGCUUCAGGGGCCACUUUGAUGAAGUCCUCCAGGUCACCAUCGUAACUUCUCAAAUGGCAAUCCAGGAUUCAUUGCUGCAUUGAUUGUAUAUUUGCGCCACAGUCGCAUCCCGGACUCUCUGAACUUCGAUUUGUACAUGAAUUUGUUGCAUCUGCCUUGCCCUAAUUACUUGUGUGUGCGUCGCAGGUUAUGGCUCGUAAAAUUAAAGAAAAUAAAAACAUGACUCCAUCAUCUCUCUUACGGGAAGAAGACGAUAGCAGUGAUGACGAUAAUCAACGCAAUUGAGAAGAGAACAAUUGGGCAGUUGAAAGAACACCAAUUAAUAAUAGAAUGGCAGGCACAACAGACAUUGCGACGUUUGAACCAAUUAAGAGCUGAGAAUUAAAUGCUUGAUGAAAAACAUCAAUUUUAAUAGAAGAAUUAAGAUUUUUGAAAAAUUAUUCAUGGCACAAGCUUCUGUAAUUAAGUAAUAAGAUGGAUAUUGUGGAUAAUUACUGCUUAUAACGUUCCACCACCGACGCAAACAGCUACAACGUUUAUAAGUCCAACCUUACCCGCCAUCCAACAGCUACAAGUAUCAACUCCCGGACAAAAUCUGAAACCUUAUAUGACGAAGAGCUUCAUCACAGGUGCAUUUCAAAAGAUGGGAAAAUAUCCAAAGAAUGUCAAAUUGAUGCGUUAUACUGGCGAAACUGCUGAUUAUACAUUUGUUUAUCUAUGAUGCAUAAACUCAAUGAAAAAUAUAUACCUGGUACUAAUCCAUGCUUCAAAUGACUCAAGGGUAUAAGGCUAGUCUAGAUUAUGGACAGUUUUUUGAAACCAACUAUUGGCAUCGAUACUCAAUAUGGAACCAACCAAAAGUCAGAAUAAUGUGUUUAAGCCAGAAUCAGCUAGUGAAACUGUCGUUAUUAAGACAAAUGUCAAUUUUAAUCUAGUUGAUUACAAAAAGUCAAUGACAUGGAUGCAUUACACAAAGCCCUUGUCACACAAGAUUACAAUUUAUGGGAUCCACUUGAAAGUUGUAAAUGGCUACCAAUCGACACUAGAAGUUAUUUAAAUAAAAAUAACAUUUCACCAAGUUUUUUUUAUA
This is a long non-coding RNA of Metopolophium dirhodum (rose-grain aphid), 4113 nucleotides long. RefSeq lists it as uncharacterized. The record is from RefSeq and is a predicted model, not a curated record. Lineage: Eukaryota; Metazoa; Arthropoda; Insecta; Hemiptera; Aphididae. The transcript has 8 exons.